CAGGCCCUCCUAUGGCCGCCCAGCCUCCCUCCCGGGCUCCUCUAGGAGCAGGAGGCCCUAGGGCUGAAGGGAAGGGAGAGGUGGGGGUUCUCCAGUGCUCCGCAGGCGCGUCCUGCCCACCCCAUCUCCCCGCAGUGGGUUUCUCCUCUUUCUCUUCUGUGACUGGGGUGGCCCCUGUCUGCAUUACCCACAGAGAGUCAGUCGUCUUUCCAGGACCGGAGGUCUCUGUGUGUCUCAUCCAGAGAGAGACAGAGUCUGCCUUGAAUCAGAGGUCAUGUGGCCGUCCCCGCCGGGCCGAACAGGUUGCAGGAGCCCUUGGCUUUCCUUCACAGAGAGGGCAGACAGGAAUCUGCACGCGCUAAGGGAAGUUUGGGAGCUGCGACGCGUCUAUCUGAGCAACGAGUUGAGCCUUCUGAUAAUUGGGAAGUACCCUUGCUCUCAGUUCUGGCGAUGUGAAGGCUCCCCCACCCGACCCAGGCCGGGCUGACAGUGGCCAGUCCUGCGGGCUGAGGGCGGAGCGGUCAGCGGUUUCCUCUCGGCGCGGAGGGACAGGCCCCAGUAGGGGCCAGGCUGCCCCGGGUUCAGCGUCCUGUGUUUCCCCAGCCCCCGGUUGCGGCUGUGGCCCAGGACCUGGGCAGGAGGCGAGGUGGAGUAGCUGGGAGCCUCCUCUGCCUGGGUGGCCUCCAGAAGAUUCCUGAGCAGUGAGCCCACCUUCAUGCGGGGCGCCAGGGGGAGCCGUGGAACCGGGGCUUGAGGCUCCCAGCAGGUGUAGGCCGGGCAGUCGCCCUGGGCUCGCAGCCACACCUCUCCUGCAGGGGCGGUGGCAGCCCUAAAGAGUCAGGAGAGUAGGGCUGGGCUAACUGGGCGGGGCAGAGCCGACUCUUUCCCCAGGGCAAGAGGAAAUUCUUCUUACCAGUUGGAGGUUGCCACAUAAGAUGACUUCCCUCUCGAAAUCACCAGUGACUUAGGAGAGUCAAACGUUCGCUGUUCUAACCCAAAGGCUUGCUGGACAAAUGAGAACUUUAGGAGCUUUGAAGUCUGUUUAAGGACAAGGCCUGGUGCUAGGGAGGAAAAGUAUGACCUUUGUUCCCACACGCACAUCCCAACCUGGGACCAGGCUGAGUGGAAGCCUGUGGUGGGAAUGUGGGUCCCUCCUGCUCACCAGGAGAACCAUGAGCUUUGGGGCCCCCUUUGGAGUUUAUUUAUUUAUUUAUAGUGGGACUUCUUUGCCUGGGAGAACCUGGGGUUGGAAUGCUCCCCAGGGAGUAGCCUCUCCCUGUGCGGGAUCUGCUACGCCCAGGGUGUGGGGACCAGGGACUGGCAGAGGCACGCCCGUGGUCACAGCUGACCCCGGCUGGCAGGCGAGCCAGGGUGUGGGGUGGGUUGUGAGUAGUCCUGGCCGGACACUGCGGAGCUGCCUUUCUCCCUGGAUGUCCUCUCUACUAGCUCUCCCUGUGUAAGCCUCAACCACCUGUACGAGGAGGGGGUGGUGGGGAGGCCCGGGAGGCGAAUCCAGGAGCCUUUCUCCCAGAACGGGGGCCCGAGAUACGGAUUUGAGAGAUGCUUUCACAAAGCCUCACCAAGUCCCACGGGGCCAAUUUCUUCUCCGGGGGCCGAAGUGCAGAGUGAGUAACCAAGAUGUAAACAGUUGCGUGAUGGGUUUGGGGGAGGGGGCAGCGCAUUUAUUGUGUGUGCGGAAGGGAGAAAGCUGCACGUGAUUUCAAUUUUGAAGCACAAAGAAAUAACAUGCAAUGCAGAAAAUAGGUU
RNAcentral lists this long non-coding RNA (1767 nucleotides) under Homo sapiens (human). Its description in RNAcentral is "non-protein coding lnc-NR2F1-5:1". Lineage: Eukaryota; Metazoa; Chordata; Mammalia; Primates; Hominidae. The record is from RNAcentral.